This 1062-nucleotide long non-coding RNA is filed under the name Papio anubis (olive baboon). Its description in RNAcentral is "lncRNA (ENSPANG00000044081.1)". The record is from RNAcentral. Lineage: Eukaryota; Metazoa; Chordata; Mammalia; Primates; Cercopithecidae.
AUGACGCGUGCCCGCCCGGCUCUCGGAGAGGGACCCGGAGAGCCCGUCUGGCAGCCGCGGCCCGGGCUGGCCACCUCUACCCAGCACGCCGGGCAGGGCGCAUGCGCGCUUAUUAAUAUUCAUGAGAGGGCGUGCUCACCCAGGACACGCACCUCCCAUUCACGUUGCUGGGGAGGGGGUAGUGCGGGGAGGAACUUGGAAGGGGUUGGGGGCUCGGGGAUGCUUAGGGCGGCAAAGAAAUACCGGGGCCCCAUAGCAACCCCUGUUCUCGGGAGCUUCGGGCCAGGAGGGAAGGGAGAGUGCGGGGAGGUACUUGGAAGGGAUGGUUGCUUAGGGACGCCUGGAGGCCCCCAGCGGGGACCGCCCCCUCGGGCGCCCGGGACCGGGAGCCUUUGCCCGCGCGUCGGGGCCCCAGGUGUAGGCGCCGCGGCGCUGGCGGAGCGGUCGGAGCGGGGCAGCUUCCGCCUUCCGAGCCGCCUGCGUCAGCUGCGGCUUUCGCCCCGGGAGGAGGGCCUGCCUGCCCGCCGGGAGUUCGGCCCGCUUCCCGCGAGCGAGCCGCCCAGAGCGCUCUGCUGGCGGCAGAGGCGGCGGCGAGGCUGGCGCGCUUGCCGCCGUCUGCUCGCCCCGCGGAGGCGACCUGGGCAGACGCUGCUGGGAACUUUGAAAAACUUUCCUGGAGCCAGGCUUGCCGCAGAUUCGAGGGGAAGCCUCGGCCGCGCCCCACUCCCUCCCAAAUCCGAGUCUGCGGAGCCUGGGAGGGCUCCCAGCGUCCUUUCCAAACCGCGCCGGGGCAGAGGCGCAGGGAAACCGGGGGUAGAAGGCGGUGGGCACGCCGGGGCCGUGUUCAGGCUUUGGGAAGGGCCGGCGGAGAUGCUGGUGGGCUUGGAAGCCCUCCCCGGCCCGCCGCCCCGGCCGCAGUGCCGGUAUUGCACCUGUAGGCGGCCUCCGAGCUGCUCUCUGGGUGGCAAGGGGCCUGGAAGGGACCGUGUCCCCACCACCGCCAGCCGCGGAACUUGCCUUCUCUGGGGUGGCAGUGGAAACCGAUACUGUUUUCCACCUUGA